This 520-nucleotide ribosomal RNA is filed under the name uncultured Glomus. Its description in RNAcentral is "SSU rRNA". It matches the Rfam family "Eukaryotic small subunit ribosomal RNA", at positions 569 to 1091 of the family's 1831-position model. Lineage: Eukaryota; Fungi; Glomeromycota; Glomeromycetes; Glomerales; Glomeraceae. The record is from RNAcentral.
AGCAGCCGCGGUAAUUCCAGCUCCAAUAGCGUAUAUUAAAGUUGCUGCAGUUAAAAAGCUCGUAGUUGAAUUUCGGGACUAAUAUGUCGGUCGUGCCUCGGUACGUACUGGUAUUUUGGUUUCUCCCUUCUGACGAACCUUGAUGUCAUUAAUUUGGUGUCUUGGGAAAUCAGGACUGUUACUUUGAAAAAAUUUAGAGUGUUUAAAGCAGGCUCACGCUUGAAUACAUUAGCAUGGAAUAAUGAAAUAGGACGUUUGAUUCUAUUUUGUUGGUUUCUAGGAUCGACGUAAUGAUUAAUAGGGAUAGUUGGGGGCAUUAGUAUUCAAUUGUCAGAGGUGAAAUUCUUGGAUUUAUUGAAGACUAACUACUGCGAAAGCAUUUGCCAAGGAUGUUUUCAUUAAUCAAGAACGAAAGUUAGGGGAUCGAAGACGAUCAGAUACCGUCGUAGUCUUAACCAUAAACUAUGCCGACUAGGGAUCGGAUGAUGUUAAUUUUUUAAUGACUCAUUCGGCGCCUUAC